This 70-nucleotide transfer RNA is filed under the name Calumma marojezense. RNAcentral describes it as "tRNA-His". The record is from RNAcentral. Lineage: Eukaryota; Metazoa; Chordata; Lepidosauria; Squamata; Chamaeleonidae.
GCUGCAAUAGUUUAACAAAACAUUAUCCUGUGGAACUAAAAAUGUGGUGCCACACUCACCACCUGCAGCC